RNAcentral lists this ribosomal RNA (283 nucleotides) under Andinia nummularia. RNAcentral's name for it is "5.8S ribosomal RNA". The stretch from base 6 to 161 matches the Rfam family "5.8S ribosomal RNA". From Rfam's summary of the family: 5.8S ribosomal RNA (5.8S rRNA) is a component of the large subunit of the eukaryotic ribosome. It is transcribed by RNA polymerase I as part of the 45S precursor that also contains 18S and 28S rRNA. The record is from RNAcentral. Lineage: Eukaryota; Viridiplantae; Streptophyta; Magnoliopsida; Asparagales; Orchidaceae.
AAAAUGACUCUCGGCAAUGGAUAUCUCGGCUCUCGCAUCGAUGAAGAGCGCAGCGAAAUGCGAUACGUGGUGCGAAUUGCAGAAUCCCGCGAACCAUCGAGAAUUUGAACGCAAGUUGCGCCCGAGGCCAGCUGGCCAAGGGCACGUCCGCCUGGGCGUCAAGCGUUGCGUCGCUCCGUGCCAUCUCCAUCCCACCCAACGGGUGUGCAUGCGGAUUGGCCGGAUGUGCAGAGUGGCUCGUCGUGCCCACGGACGCGGCGGGCUGAAGUGCGGGUGAUCGUCU